ACGUCAGAGUCCUCUGCUGUGCGUCCUGGCCCAGAGGACUGGGCCACCAAAGCCCUGGGUUCCUUGUCUUGUCACAGAUUAAGUGCGGGGCUACCACUUCCUCUUUAGAAUCCUCCUUGGUCUCCAGUGGAGGCAUCAGUCAGGGUCACCUCCAAGGAGAGUCAGCUGCUUCAGUGGGUCAGAGGUGGGGCAUCAGGAAGGACCCGCCCAUCACAUACUCUUCGCAUUACUCCUUAGUGAAGACCUUGACCCCAGGAGGCUCCCUAACAAUGUGACUGUAACCUGGGAGGGUGGCUAGAGAGUGGAGCCUCUGAGAGGUUAGGCAAAGAGCUUAGAGGGAAGAUCUCAAGCAGGGUGAGAGGCUUAACAGGACCCUGGGUGGAGCUCCCCAGGGGACAGUGGGGGCCUAAAGGCUCUGAGACCUUGAGUGACGGUGUAGGGAAGGAAGAAAGGGUAGAGCUGAGAGGGAGGCGAGAACCCCUGAAUCAAGGGCAUUACCAAUUUGGGGAUGAUUCUUUUUAUUUUUUUAUUGAUUGAUGAUUGAUUGAUUAUUUUUUUUUGUAGAGAAGGAGUUUUGCCCUGUUGCCCAGGCUCAUCCCAAACUUCUGAACUCAAGCAAUCCGCCCGUCU
RNAcentral lists this long non-coding RNA (630 nucleotides) under Pan troglodytes (chimpanzee). RNAcentral describes it as "long non-coding RNA NONPTRT005429". Lineage: Eukaryota; Metazoa; Chordata; Mammalia; Primates; Hominidae. The record is from RNAcentral.